AAAAAGCGGAGGAAAAGAAACCAACAGGGAUUGCCUUAGUAGCGGCGAGUGAAGCGGCAAAAGCUCAAAUUUGAAAUCUGGCUCUUUCAGAGUCCGAGUUGUAAUUUGAAGAAGGUAUCUUUGGGUCUGGCUCUUGUCUAUGUUUCUUGGAACAGAACGUCACAGAGGGUGAGAAUCCCGUGCGAUGAGAUGAUCCAGGCCUAUGUAAAGUUCCUUCGAAGAGUCGAGUUGUUUGGGAAUGCAGCUCUAAGUGGGUGGUAAAUUCCAUCUAAAGCUAAAUAUUGGCGAGAGACCGAUAGCGAACAAGUACAGUGAUGGAAAGAUGAAAAGAACUUUGAAAAGAGAGUGAAAAAGUACGUGAAAUUGUUGAAAGGGAAGGGCUUGAGAUCAGACUUGGUAUUUUGUAUGUUACUUCUUCGGGGGUGGCCUCUACAGUUUAUCGGGCCAGCAUCAGUUUGGGCGGUAGGAGAAUUGCGUUGGAAUGUGGCACGGCUUCGGUUGUGUGUUAUAGCCUUCGUCGAUACUGCCAGCCUAGACUGAGGACUGCGGUUUAUACCUAGGAUGUUGGCAUAAUGAUCUUAAGUCGCCCGUCUUGAAC
Molecule: ribosomal RNA, 598 nt
Filed under: Candida tropicalis
Lineage: Eukaryota; Fungi; Ascomycota; Pichiomycetes; Serinales; Debaryomycetaceae
Description: eukaryotic LSU rRNA
Rfam family: Eukaryotic large subunit ribosomal RNA
Source: RNAcentral